RNAcentral lists this long non-coding RNA (24921 nucleotides) under Citrus x clementina. Its description in RNAcentral is "Citrus clementina (C. clementina) long non-coding RNA (CCLE_LNC001338)". The record is from RNAcentral. Lineage: Eukaryota; Viridiplantae; Streptophyta; Magnoliopsida; Sapindales; Rutaceae.
GUUAUGAGCGUCAACUGAAGGCAUUCCUGGUCUAGUAUCAACAACACGUGCACUAGUAUGAAAUGGAAGUGCGAGUUUCAGCUCUUUGACAUCACUUUCUAAUGCAGAGAAGAUACACCGGUCUACAAAUGGUCCGAGUUCUUUUACCCGUAAUUCAUACAAGUCAAGUGUGAACUUGUCUAACCUUAUCAUCUCCCUGCGGCGGGUGCGCAGAGUUCCCUCUACAUAAUUUAAUGCCCUGCUUAACUUCUCAUCUCCAAGUUGAGCUUCAAUUUUGUUGUUGCAAGAAACCGAAGGAACUUGAUUAAAGAAAGUUUUAUCAAAUUCCAAAAUUGGGAAUGUACGCCAGGCAUGUUCCCAUGCUUGCGACAAAACAGUUGUUUGAACUACUUGUUUAAAUGAGAGGAAUGACAAAAUACAAUGCAGUAUUGGUUCCGGCAAAUUAGAUAUCCUGUCCAUGCUGCUAAGCACCUCCUCCAUAAUAACAAUAUCAUCACCAGAUUCCCUGAAUCAGUAGCAACAUCUUCCUUCUAAGUAUGCUAAUUAAAUUGAGACAACGGAGUACUAAUAAUAAUAAGAAUAUUGGCUGGAUUCUAUCAAUUUAAUUCAAUGUAAUAAAGAAAAUAAAUAAUCCUAACAAAAACUAUUUUGAAUUGAACAUGUUUAAUUUCUUUUUUGUACGAGAAGAGACACUGAAACUUUCACUUUCACCGGAAAAAGAAAAAUCAGCCUAAAACAGAACUGAAUUAUUUAUAAAAGAAAAGAAAGGAAAAGAAAAGAAAAGAAAAAGAGACACGUUAACACAGAACCAAUAUGGAUGAGGAUGAUAAAAUACCUAUUCAUCCGAUCGAUCAAUCGUGACAGUCCAACAGCGACAGCGACGGCAACCGAAACAGCAGAACUGUCAAGAAAGGAUUGAUCUGCUUUAACUAUGUUUUGUAUAGGCUUAAUUUUGAGGAUUCCGAAUCCAAAACAGACAAAGUCACAACAGCAAAAUUAUGUAGCCUCAGUCUGCUCCGUGUAUAUAUAUUUUGAAAAUUCCAAAUCCAAAUCGGACACGUCCUUCUGCUUCUCCUAACGCGAAUCGGACAUGCGGCUAGUCGCUACGCAACAGUAAUUAAGCUUUUUGGAGAUAAAGAGUGGUUUCGUUUCCAUCUAUUUUAUGUACUUCCAUCUGUUAGUUGAAGAACUAGUUUGUUACAAAGUACGCAAAUCUAACCCUGACAACUUCGGAUGACGCAAUCUUUUGUCAUCAAAUAGGCUUUUGAGUCUUGACUCUUGACACCCCCUUUAAAUUUCCGAACUGCUUAAAUAAUCGAGGUAAUUUAUGAAUAAUGAUAAAUAUUUUAAAAAUUUUAUCCCAAAGAAAUUCAAGUAAAUAUUUAAAUAUUAUUAUUCCUUGAAAAAAAAUUUAACACUAUCUUAUUUCAUAAUUUGUAUUAUUCUUUAAAUUUUAAUUAAAGAUAUGUUUUUUAUUGAUGCGAGAUUCUGAUUACCCUCUCGACCACGACCAGCAUCUCUGCUCAAUCAACUCGACCACGAUCAGGAUCUCUUCUCGUAUGACUUCUUCCCCAAAAAUUCCUGCGUACACAUAAAUAAGUUAGAGCACGCCGGUUGUUUUUUCGGCGUAAACCCUCCGACGCUCAAGUCAGAAAUGAAGGUUUUGUGUUCCUGGGAACGUUAGCCACUAAUCUUAUGGCUAAUUUUUGGUAUCGAUUACUCGAUGCUCUCUUUAUCUCAGUUUCAAUGUCAAAAAUCUUAACCCUUUUAUUUUUGUUGACUACCUUUUUAUAAGCUUCUCCUGAAUUCAAACCUUCCCUCCAUUCACGCCUGUUAUCCUCCCACCUCUCAAAAGUGGAUGCUCCGUUUCUGUAAUCGUGGGUGGUUGCAUGACCUUCGUGCCUUGAUUCUCGGAUUAGAGAGCACGUCUCGCCAACUGUCGUUGACCGGGUCUCCUCGCCUCAACCCUUAGCAGGAAUGGCUUUAUACUUCUAACAGGAGACCGGCCUCGCGGAUGGCGUAUUCGUGGAUGAGCAGAAUAUUCCUACUCAUGUUCCCCUGCUACCAGACUCUUACAAGAUAUACCUAUUCGUGGAACCCUGCUACCAGAAGUCUGCUAAACCCGGCUGGUCUCGUUGAAGCACAUCCCCAAACAUUCUUGAGAAAAGUACAAAAAUUUAAAGUAAUGGAGAUAAAAAUUAUAUAUUAAGAAAAAAUAAUUUAAGAUUUUAAUAUUUUAAUAUAUUUUAUAAAUAAAAAUUUUAGCAUAUAAUUUUGUAUUACAUAGGUUAAUUUUAAUAUAUACAUUUUUAUUUUAUAAAUUAAAUAAAUAAAAUUUAGAAGAGAUGAUAUAAAAAUUUUAAGGGUGAGGCUAUCAUAAGUCUUGACAGUUAAUUUCGGACAGUUUGACUCAAUAAAAUAUUCAAUUAACCCAAUUUCUCGUGACUCCCAUCAAACAAAGAUUUAAAUUUAUAGUUUUCCUUUAAACUCCCAUUUUAAUUGCUAAAAAUAUCCUCUUUAUAUCUAUUUUCUUCGUCAAUCUCAAUGAACACAAGAGUUUCGCAUGAUUAUAUCCUUUCCAAAAUAAUUGCUUACCCGUAAACUUAAUAAAUGAUCCUUAAAAGAUUAUUACUUUGGUAAUUAAUAUAAAUUUAAUCAUUAGAAAGUCUUGUACUGUAGAAAGGUCCUCAAUUUUGACUUGGUAUUAUGCAAAUAGACUUUUUGAGUUUCGUGCAAAAAUUAAUUCAAUACCACCCUUUUGCAAUCAAAAUGUUAAUUUGGUACAAGUUUUUUAGUAGAUUCUUGCACUCCUCCAAAAUUAUCUUAAAAUCUCUCUUUUAAUUAUACUUACCUUCAUUUUAAUAAUAUUCUUUUUUUUAAUAAAUAAACACUCUUUUCAUUUUAAAUUGUUUAAACUCUUUACAAACUCAAAACACUAGCUUUUCCAAAAUAUAAUUAAUCAAUAUGAAUAAAUAAGAAAAAAAAGAAGAAAAGAUUGGAUUUUUUUUUUCAGCAUGACAUAAAUUCCAAUAACAAACUCAUGUUGGCGAUUUUGAUUGGCAAAGGCGAUCGACGUGCCACAGUCAAGUCAAUGUUUGCUAUUGCAAGAUCAUAUGGCUAAAUUGUUUUGGGUAAGCUACCCUUUUAUGCCCCAUCUUUCUUCUUCAGUAUCAAAUGGAUUAAAAAAAAAAAGGAGCUGCUUAGGGAAGUACAAAUUGAAUUUGUGCAUGGUAUAAUUAGUACUCUUUACUUUUAAGGUCGUUGGCUACUGGCCAACCUUAAAACUCUACGGUAACAAUUCACCAUCAAGUUUAUUAACUACAAACAAUUAAACAAAAAAUGUCAUUUGAGUAGAAAAGAAUCCAGAGUGGCUAGAUAAAGUAAAUAAAAGAAGAUACGAUAGGGGUUUUAAAAAAUAAAAUAUGGGUUUUAUAUAAAUUGAGAUAAUCCUAUUAGUAUUUGGGAGAAACCUGUGGUGCAACUGUGGUACCGUGCCACAAUUGCAUCCAGCCGUUGGAUGCCAAUGGACGCCACCAAUCUAAGUGCAUCAAACGACUGGAUGCAACUGUAGCACGGUACCACAGUUGCACCGUAACCUGAUCCUAAUAUUUGUUCUUAAAUAUCAUUAUAAUACAGCAGUGGGCUAAUGAGAUUAAUAGGGGGACGCAGUGCUCCUAACACUGAUCUAUUAAGGAUUUUAAAUUAGCGGCAACGUGGGCCGAAUUUAAUUUGAUCAAUUAAAAUAAGCGGGUGUUCAAAUUCGGCCCACGUUGCCACUCCUUUAAUAUCUAGAGUUGCAGAGAAUGAUUUAAAUUAGUGGCGAUGUGGGCCGAAUUUAAUUUGAUCAAUUAAAAGGGGGUGGGCAAAUUCGGGCCACGUUGCCAAUCCUCCAAUAUCUAGAGUUGCGGAGAAACAAUUUAACUUCAGUAUAUUCAUUAACAAGAUAAAAACAAAUAACGACCAUAUAAGUAACAACGGGAGAUUUAUUGAUGACAGAUGUUUUACAAUGGCUUUAACAGAUAAACAAAAUAAUCUGACUUGAAACAUUUUCCCAAUGGUAUUUUUUUUUAAAACAUUCAUGUGAAAUAAUAUUUGCUGGCAGAUUUUUUAUGUAAGCAUGAAGACAAUGACAGCGCAAGUCUACUUUUGUUUUGUGAAAUGAUUAAGUACAGUCACUCAUUUAUUCAAGAAAAGAUUAUUGAAAUCUAUUUUUGAUAAUUAUGCAUGGAUGAAAUAUAUUUGGGUUACUAUAAUUAAAGGCAUUACAGUCUAAAAACAAUCCUCUAAUCUCCAUGAUUAUUUUUUAGAAUAAGAUGGUCACUUUAAUCAAAGGUCAUAAUUAAUCUACCGAGAAUAAAAACAGUACAAUAUCAAUGCCAAUGGCGCAAAUUUGGUGACCGACCGGCCACGUUUUGGACGCCGAUUACAUGAACAAAACGGUAAAAAUUUGAGAUUUAUGUUGGACGCCAAUUAUGGUUCUUGUGGAGGACGCUGUAAAUGGUUUUGCAUGUUAUGGAUUGUUAUGAAGAGUUUAAUCGUUAGCUUCAUCCUGCUUAGGUUCAAUAUGUUUCUAUUGAUUCCUUUGUCUGUUUCCUUUGAGAUGGAGAAGGUUCUUGCGGAAGAAAUUCGACAAAUAAGUUUUUGUUAUUUAUUCUGCUGGAAAUUGAAUUUAUGAAAUCUUGCUGCCAUGAAGAAAUAUCAUUUGGCAAUCGACUGCGUUUUGCAGUCGAUACAGCGAAAAUAAUAGAAUAAAUGGUUAAAUUUAUUAUUUUCACUUUUCUGUUAUGCCAAUGCGACCUCCAGAUUUCAGCAUGAUGCGGCGGUAUUGUAAUGCAUGAUGCGGUCCUUCAUUUUCGUUGUACUUAUGGUUGCUUUCUUAAUGCCUUAAUGAAUAAUGUUGCUUUUUAUCCUAUUUUAUCAUGUUUGUUUGUUAUCUAUUUCCCUAAGUCGCAUGUACAUAUGCUAUUGGCCAAAAGAUAAUCAAAAUAUAGGCUUUGAGAAAGCUAUUUAAUCAUUUACAUUUCAUUAUUUUAAUUGGAAGAGCAAAAUAAUUCUUCGAAGGAGUUUGGUUGUUGAGGUAUGCAUUAGGUUGUAUGUGGAACAAUGUGUUUUAUGGAAAGAAUAUAGAAAAUGCCUUUAUAGUAUGUUGCAUUGUCAUACUUAAUCCGUUUAAUUGCUUUUCCUUGUCCAUUGAGAUAUUUGUGAACCUCUGUCACCAUAAAAUCAAACUGAAUGGUGGAAUGACAUUGCUUUUUGUUGGUAGGCACUAUUUUAGAUUUAUAACUGUGGAUUUUCAUAGGCUGUCAAUGUGAAAGGUCUAUCUGUAGACAAAUUCCUUGCACAGCAGAAGGGCAACUGGGGCUCCAUUGUUUAAGGAGAUCAAAGUAGGAGCCAGGUUAUUGUCAUGCUUCGUAAUGAAUUUAAUCAUCCCCAGUUGACGAAUAAUGUUGCUGAUAGCGUCCUGUUGUGUAGGAAUUACCUGGUAUUUCGUGGCGGUUGAAUGAAGUUAGAACUGUGGCAUAUGAGAAUUUUUUAUAAGAAGCUGAUCAUAAUCUAUCAUAUGGGCAACAAAUAGGAAAACAGUUAAUGUUGUGUAAAUUAGCAUUGUACUAUUGUAAUACAUUUGUGUUACUCCAUAAAAUUUCAACUAGUUUGCUUGUAAUGAACAUUUCAGUGUAUAAUGACGUUGUAAGGGGUAGGCGCGAAGAUUUGUGAAAAUUUGAACGGAGUUGAUUAUGAGCAAGUACAUGUGCUGGAGAUUUUUUGUUGAAAUUUAUUAUGGCUCCCAUGUAUCCGGUGGCCUUAGUAAUUUGCAUAGGUAAUUGACAGACAAUGAUUUAUUGGGUUGCAUUAUCGGUUUCUAUGUAAGGGAUAAGUCGGUGACUGACAUCGAUUUAAGUUCUUGAGAAGUUGGAAUUCACUGAGUUCACAUGGAAAUUAUAUGAGAGACCUCUUGCAACAUAAGCAACCUGUAAGUUACAAAAAGCUAAUAGAAUCCAUAGUUUCUUUCCCUUCCACUACUUCCUUCUGCAACGCUAGUAUCUACAACAGUUUCCUUAGUAAUCUCUAUAUAGCAUGCUUUCUGAUAUAACAUGCUUUCCGCUUUUCACUCUGACCUACCUUCAUUCUUGGACAAAGUUACACAUUAUCUUUUAGUCUGAACCUCACUUUCGAUUUUCUGCUCCGUCUAAUCUCAAAGCACAUGAACUACAUUCAUUACAAAAAAACAAUUUUCAUAUUUGACGAUUUUUUUCAAAUAACUAAUAGCCACUGCUAUACUUAUAGCUACAAUUAUAUUGCCACUUCAUACAAACUUACCUGAAAUUUCCAACAGGUUCUGUUGUUCAACUCACCAACGCGGAUAAUUCAUAACCAAAAUGGCCAACUCUACAGUUAUUCUCAAUUUUUUCGCUGCCUCGAAUUGCACGAACAUUUGUUAAAACCCUAAAGUACCAUGUAACCUGUCUUAACCGGUUGCCAAUUUAAAACAUAAUUAAAGAUAUCAAACUGGAGCCAUUAGAUCAUGUGCCCAUAUAUCCUACGGCUAUUGCAAAUGAUGACAAAAUAAGGGGUAUCUUCCCCCAACUGGAAGGCAGCCGGGUCCAUCCAAAUUAUAUUCUAUGCUUAGUUUUCUAAUUUGAUUUUUGAUUUUAAGACUCUUUCAUUGAACAUAACAUAGAUCAGAAAAAAGAAAGAGAAAAAAAAGUCUUUUAUUUAUGCUGAUAUGCCAUUCUAAUUUCAAGUGUCACUGUUUACCAACUGAGUUUCACCAGCUUCCACUCCAGAUUCUUGAUAUGCCAUUCUAAUUUCAGGUGUCAUUAUUUACCAAUUGAGUUUCACCAGCUUCCACUUCAGAUUCUUCACCGACACACCAACUGCAUCUAAAGAAAAACCCCCAGUUGAGAGACUGGUAUUAGGGUAUUCAAUCCCAUUGGUCUGUGGGGGGGGGGGGGGAGCACUAGUUAAACAAUUCAAUUUACAUGGUAUGGUAAAUGAAGUAUUAGCAAAUGAAAACAGAGUACAGCAACAGAAACUUACUCCCACGAUCUUCCAGCCCAUGUCAAACUGAUAGGCUAUUGGCUCGACAGCACACCACAACAGCUAGUGGUGACUCACCUCCAACAUAAGGCACGCCAAAGCAUCCAGAGGCCAGGCCUAGAGUCCCUCUCCGAGAGCAGUCAUUACACUAUUGUACAUAAAAUUGAAUCAUAUCAUAAGCAAACAACAAAAUAUGUUAUGACUAAGAAGGAUUGCACAUACAUUAAUAAGACACAAGCAGCCAUCAACAAUAAACAGAACCAAAAGCAUAGGCAGGAAUUGCUAUUAGAUACUUGAAAUUGGUACCUUAAUUGCAGCCUAAAUUGUUGACAAAUUAGCUAGCUCAAUUUCACAUUUGAAUUGAAGGAUGCAUAAUUGACUCCCAAGACCUGGGUUAAUUUGUACCAACCAAUAUGGUCGGAAAAUGCUUGCUUGUGUGAUAUGCAUGAAUGUGUCAAUUUCUUUAAGAAUGGAAUUCUUGUCGAUGACAAUUCAAUGCUCUAAUAAUAAUGCUCCUAGAAGAUCUCAAUUACUUGUUUUAAAGCAUCAGCUAUUGCUGCUGCUGCCAAUUGUGUUUCCAUAAACCAGUCAUUAGAGAACUAUUAAUGCAUCUAAAUCAAUCAAACAGUGGCUGAUGUGCACGCCGCGCACAAACAUGAUUAGGUAUAGAUUGCUACAACUAAUAGUUUUUGUUCUCGGGGCUUAGUUUUUCGUAGUAGCAUUUAAGAAAGAUUAAGUAUUACGUGAAUGGAAUUUGAAUUGACUAGCAGUGGUACUGCCCAGAUCUGAAGUGCAUUUCAACAACGAGUUUCUAUGAUAAUAGACACCAGAUCUGAAGUGUGUACACAAAACUCGUAAAAAUAACAUCCGAAAGAAAUAUAUCUAUUAUACCUGAAGUGCAACCUUGGAUCCAACGAAAAGAGGGAUCCAUUUGCUGUGCUCCAAACGGCAGCCUCUGCGGUGCACUUGAACUGAAAAAAAAAUUAAAAAAAAAGAAAUCCCUAAGGAAGAUAGUAAACUUAUUACAUUCAGCCAGUACGGGAAUUCCGUAUCCUCAAAACCUGGUUCCAUUCUCGCAACUCUUCGAAUUUGAGCGGAAAUUUUCAGAGAAAAGCGCUCGACUCCCAUGGCUUUCGCGGUGCCUGGAUGGAGAAUUGGAGAAGAAAAUGUCAUUUGAAUCUUUGAGUUUUAUAGGGCUGGGCCUAACUCGGUUCGAGUCGGUUCUGAAAACCAAUCGGUUUUUUAAAACUAAAACCAAACACAAACCGAGUUGGAGACCGAACCGAAUCAAAUUAAUACGGUUCGGUUCAUAUCGGUUCAAUUUUCCCCUUUUUAAUUACUCAAAAAUUUCAGCCUAAAUUUAAUUCUUUUUACAUCCCAAUUUAAAUAUAACCACACAAAAUUUUAAAUAAAAUUUUCUUGUAAUUACUAUAAUCGAUAUUUUUUAAAACGAAUUUUAGAAUUUAGAUGAAUCAUCUUCAACUUCAUGAUAGACAAGAGACUCAUUCUCAUCUUGAAUUUUGUUUUUUUUUUAAAUUUGAACUCUUGCUUGAAGACUUAGAUAUCUGCAAGGAUGAGUUAAUCUGAAAAAAAUAGAUAAUUGAUUAAUCAAGCAGCAUUAAUGAAGAUAAAUUUAUUCCAUGUUUUUAUUCUUUACGUUUACAGACAUUAUAAUUACAUUUAUAUAUUUAAUAGAGAAACAUAUAAAUCAAAUUGUCUAACAAGAGAAAAUUAUGCUAUCACCAAGUCUUCCAUUGAAACUUCGAGGAAUAGUUUUGUAUUUGGGAAGAAUAAGCAAAGUUUCCACAUAUAACAUUGCAUUUUGAAUUUCAUUAAUAUGCAUUGCAUGUUUUGAGAAGAAUAAAUUGCAAUGAAGCACAUUGCAGGUGGAUUAAAUGUAACCUGGAAACACACCAAACCCAAGUAUUAGUAGAGGUAAGAUUAUUUAUAUUAUUUUUUCCCUCAUGUCUCUUGGAUUAGGCUACACGUACAGUGCAAUUAAAAAAAAAAGCUACAGUAAACAGAAACAACAGCAUUGAAAGCAUUUAAAAUUAAACAAAGUAACAAUCUCAAUCCCUAAGAGCUAUACCUUCAACUUAAAUCACUAGAUAUCACAUAAGUGAAAAAAUCAACUUUAAAACCUAUUGAGAGAGAGCGAGAGAGAGAGCUCAAAAACUCAAAAACACAUCUUAAAUCCUUCAACCUCUGCGUACAAUAAGUAAGAAGUAACUCUGCGACAGAAUGAUGAGACGACAAAGAUAUGACGUUGCACGGCGACGGGCUGUGAGAAAACCGGAAGGAAUUGCUAAUGGCCCACGACAACGGUUGUAAGAACACGGCAAAGAGUUGCUAAUGGGCAACGAAGACGGUUGUGAGACAAACGAUGGAAGUGAGAGAGAAGAAAGAUAAUGGUAGUUGGGGGGAUGUUGAUGUUAUUAAUAAUUUUUACUAGUUAUAUUAAGUUACUGAUAUUAUACAAGGCAACUUUAUUGUUGAUGUUAUUAAUAAUUUUUAAUGAGUGGUGCUAUUGCCAAAAUCAUAAGCGAUUUUGGAGAUGGAACCGGCGAUUUUUGCCCUAGUUUGAAGCUCAAACAGACUGACUAUAUCAUGCCAAGAAAGAAUUUCCCAGUCUGGGAUUUGAUAUGCCAAAAUCAUAAGCUCAUAAAGGCAGACAUACAUGAAUGGUAUGAUGGACAAGAGCUGCAACAUGCGCUGCUCCAACUUAUUAACUCAAAUGUUAUUAUUUCUAAAGAACAACACGACGGCGACGACAAUGGCGAUUCCACUCAGCUAGUUACAGUUGACUGCAAGCUUCAUAAAAUUCCAGUCUCUACCCAUUGAGUGUAGCAGAUAUUAUCAAUGUAGCCGAUGUUGUAGAAUUGAUGUUAAUGUCACAUUUCAUCCGGCUGGUUUCAGCCUUAGCAAUUAAUGUUCAAGGUGUUUGUUGCUGAAUGAAAUUGAAUGAAAAUUUACAAAUAUAAGAUGGCUUCAAUUUUUUAUUUUAUUUUAUUUUAUUAUUAUUUUAGUUUGCUUGUUGCCUUGUUAAAGUUCUGGCCACUUAAGACAGUUAUACAAAUGAGAUUGAAAAAAGGGGAUCCCAAAUCAUGUAAUCAUGAAAUUAAUGGAAUGAAAAUGACUAGUAAUAUAAUUCGAGAAAGGUAUAUAUAGAAUUGCUAUCUAAUUGACUCUUGCUACACCGAUCGUUCCUCGCAUAUUAGCCAUAAUUUUGAAUUAUUUAGGAUAAAUUUUAGAUUAUUCCACUCAUGAAUUAACUAUCUUCAAAUUAUUUCUUUAUUUUUUAAAACUUAAAGUUACUCCCUAAAUCUUAUUAUUUCCCAUUAAUUUUAAUGAUUAAAAGGAUAAAUAGUAUUUAAAAAAUUUGAAACAUUCAAUUAAUUGAAAGAAAACAAACUUUUCUAUUUUUUUUCACUCUUUUAUAUUUAUUAUUAGACAAAAUGACUAAUACUCCUUACUUAUAUUUUGGAGAACAAAGAUACUUCAACAUAAAUUAAAUUAAUUUUCAGUUAAUUUCAAAAAAAUCAAAAUUCAUUUGUUAAUGUUCAUUCACCUUCAUCUAAUAAAACUCACUCUCUUCUAUAUAUAAAUACAGCACAACCGCAACAUUCUCUCUCCCAAAAUUUUUGUUGAUAAAUAAUUUUAAAUCAACAAUCCGUAAAUAAAAACUAAAGUAAAACUAAAAUCUAAUUAAAAUCUAAACAAGUUUUGCAAUAACUUGAUUAGUUUUGAAGUCAAAAUUCCAUAUUUGAAAAUGCUCUGAAUAGUUAUCGAUUAUAGUUGAUUGUCAUGGUCAAGAAAAUUCUAAGAACUCAAAGGCAAUCAAAGCCGUGGCCAUGGAUACCAAACCCAUGGCUGCUUAAAAAUCGAUAAUUAACAAAAAAAUUGUUAAAAAGGAGACAUUUUUGUUCUUUAGCAAAUCAACUACGGUCAAUUGUUAAAGUAAGUUAUUUUAAGGUAAUUUGAAAUUUUCAAAUGUAAGGAGGUAAUAUAAAGAUAAUCAAUUCACAUGGGUGGAGUAAUCUGAGACUUACCCAAUUAUGUAUAUUGAAUAGACGUAUGGUUGAAAUUUAUAUAACUUUUUGCAUUUUAUUUCUUAUGUUUUACAUAUACAUGAGGAACUUAAUAUAACCCAGAUUACUUGCAUGAUUAACACAUAAUUAUUUGUAAUCUACGCAUAUUAUGCCCAAAAAUUUUCAAUUUUAAUUUUGAUGAGUAAGUAAUACACAGAAACUUGUCUGCAAAAGGUAUAUAUCAAAUAGAAAUAGACCACUCCAUUGAAAUUAGCUUUUGAAUUAUCUUGAAAUUGAAAGGCCAUUCAUAGAUUUAGUGCUCUUUUACUUUUGCUGUAUUCAGAAUUUGUCAGCUUCUCUCAUAAAUUAUCCACAAGAUUAAUUAACACUCCUGAAAGUGUUUUCCUGAAAAUGAUCUUAACUGAAUGAAUAUGGCAAUAUGAAAAGAUGCAAUUGAAUUUCCAGUUAACAAAAAGCAUAGUAGGAUUCACUUAAUAGCCUAAAAUGGUAAGAAUUAAUUGCUACAGUGAUUGAUUUCUUCGAAAGCAUAUGACAGACAUACUUCCAAAUCUUGACUGCAAAUCACAAUAGCCUAACAAGUCUAUUGCAAAUCAUGAACAAAUCCACUUUAACAAAAGGGUGUUUGAAACCUAAUCUUCCAAACAGAGAAAUAAUAAUGUCGAGCAAAGGUACCCAGCUGCAAUUGUCUUAUUGUACAAUGCACAAUGAUCCAUUUUGCUGAUUCUGGAUUUGUUUCUUUCAAUCUCAUAUUAUUCAACAUUUAAUGAUAUUCAGCUCACUAUUUUACGUAAACUUUAUUACCACAUUGUUGCACUUUUUGUUACUUUUGGGGUUUGUCGUGUUGACUCACCUCCAACAUAAGGCACGCCAAAGCAUCCAGAGGCCAGGCCUAGAGUCCCUCUCCGAGAGCAGUCAUUACACUAUUGUACAUAAAAUUGAAUCAUAUCAUAAGCAAACAACAAAAUAUGUUAUGACUAAGAAGGAUUGCACAUACAUUAAUAAGACACAAGCAGCCAUCAACAAUAAACAGAACCAAAAGCAUAGGCAGGAAUUGCUAUUAGAUACUUGAAAUUGGUACCUUAAUUGCAGCCUAAAUUGUUGACAAAUUAGCUAGCUCAAUUGCACAUUUGAAUUGAAGGAUGCAUAAUUGACUCCCAAGACCUGGGUUAAUUUGUACCAACCAAUAUGUUCGGAAUCAAUCAAACAGUGGCUGCCAAUUGUGUUUCUAUAAACCAGUCAUUAGAGAACUAUUAAUGCAUCUAAAUCAAUCAAACAGUGGCUGAUGUGCACGCCGCGCACAAACAUGAUUAGGUAUAGAUUGCUACAACUAAUAGUUUUUGUUCUCGGGGCUUAGUUUUUCGUAGUAGCAUUUAAGAAAGAUUAAGUAUUACGUGAAUGGAAUUUGAAUUGACUAGCAGUGGUACUGCCCAGAUCUGAAGUGCAUUUCAACAACGAGUUUCUAUGAUAAUAGACACCAGAUCUGAAGUGUGUACACAAAACUCGUAAAAAUAACAUCCGAAAGAAAUAUAUCUAUUAUACCUGAAGUGCAACCUUGGAUCCAACGAAAAGAGGGAUCCAUUUGCUGUGCUCCAAACGGCAGCCCUCUGCGGUGCACUUGAACUGAAAAAAAAAUUAAAAAAAAAAAAAGAAAUCCCUAAGGAAGAUAGUAAACUUAUUACCUUCAGCCAGUACGGGAAUUCCGUAUCCUCAAAAUCUGGUUCCAUUCUCGCAACUUUUUCAAGUUGAGCGGAAAUUUUCAGAGAAAAGCGCUCGACUCCCAUGGCUUUCGCGGUGACUGGAUGGAGAAUUAGAGAAGAAAAUGUCCUUUGAAUCUUUGAGUUUUAUAGGGCUGGGCCUUACUCGGUUCGAGUCGGUUUUGGAAACCAAUCGGUUCUUUAAAACUGAAACCAAACACGAACCGAAUAGGAGACCGAACCGAAUCAAAUUAAUUCGGUUCGGUUCAGAUCGGUUCAAUUUUUCCCCUUUCUAAUUACUCAAAAUUUUCAGCCUAAAUUUAAUUCUUUUUACAUCCUAAUUUAAAUAUAACCACACAAAACUUUAUAUAAAAUUUUCAUGUAAUUGGUUAAUUACAAUUAAUCAAUAUUUUUUAAAACGAAUUUUAGAAUUUAAAUGAAUCAUCUUCAACUUCAUGAUAGACAGGAGACUCAUUCUCAUCUUGAAUUUUGUCUUAUUUUGAAAUUUGAACUCUUGCUUGAAGACUUAGAUAUCUGCAAGGAUGAGUUAAUAUGAAAGAAAAUAGAUAAUUGAUUAAUCAAGCAGCAUUAAUGAAGAUAAAUUUAUUCCAUGUUUUUAUUCUUUACGUUUACAGACAUUAUAAUUACAUUUAUAUAUUUAAUAGAGAAACAUAUAAUUCAAAUUGUCUAACAAGAGAAAAUUAUACUAUCACCAAGUCUUCCAUUGAAACUUCAAGGAAUAGUUUUGUAUUUGGGAAGAAUAAGCAAAGUUUCCACAUAUAACAUUGCAUUUUGAAUUUCAUUAAUAUGCAUUGCAUGUUUUGAGAAGAAUAAAUUGCAAUGAAGCACAUUGCAGGUGAAUUAAAUGUAACCCGGAAACACACCAAACCCAAGUAUUAGUAGAGGUAAGAUUAUUUAUAUUAUUUUUUCCCUCAUGUCUCUUGGAUUAGGCUACACGUGUUGAGUGUUAGAAAAUGCAUAUUUAUAAAGGAGAAAACCAUCAUUUUACAUUUCAAGUCUUACUGACAACCCUUACUUUUAUGUAUUUAACCUUCUUGUGAUUUAAUUACAUGUGUUUUAUUUUAAUUAAGUAUUUUAUGUAUUUUAGGGGCAUCAUAGUCAUUUCACAAUAAACGAGAAAUCAGAUGGCAAAACGGACAUCACUUUUGAACUCAGGACGGUCGAAAACCUUAGGAUGAGCAUAAAAGGAAAAAUGGCACUGUUCACUUGUACGGUACUAUUCACGUGUACGGUACUGUAUACGUUACUGUUCACGACACUGUUCACAUAGACGGAUGAUGACGUGGCAUUGACCGAUGAUGUGGCAUUGACUGAUGAGGUGUCACGAUCCUGUUGGACUAAAAUUCUUAUGUACUGUUGAUGGUGACGUGGCAGCAUAUCAGUGGAUGAAAAAUCUCGCGUACGGUGCAUGCAUCACACAGGAUUAUUUUCAACCAAACAGCGUUACUGUUCAUCUGGGUCAAACCGCGUUACUGUUCAAAGUCGGGUCAAACCGUGUUACUGUUCAUCCGCGUGGUCAAACCGUGGACUGUUGACUGAUGACGUGGCGCAAUCCUGAGCGUCCAAACUGUUUUUAAUCCGAUGGCCAUGAUUUACUCCAUGUAUCUAUAAAAAGGGGGCCUCUCCCCCCUAAUUUGAUAUCUCUGAAUCCAUUUUUGGGAUCCAUUUUCUGUAAUUCCUUCUCCAUCUUGUAUUUUCUUCGUAUUUUAAUAAAUUUCCAUUUUGCCCCUAGUUCAAUUAUGAGCGGCUAAUUUUCUUUCAAGCUUGGGUUGAAGGUGAAGUCUCAACAUGUGUCAUGGGCUUUAUUUGGUAAAUUUAUUUUCUCUUCCCCUCUAGUUUUUGUGGAUGUUUUGACUUUUCGUCGACAAAUAAUACUAAUCUUGUCUAGUACCGCCUUGGUUUCACCGGCCCUCUAGUACAAGGUUAUUAUUAUUUGGCACGAUAAGCCCUUAGCACCAUAUUGAUUAGAGCGUGGUUCAUGAGGUGUGGAUUCCCCCCUCAUGAUUUAAUUGGUAUUAAUACGGAUUAUUUAGCCCAUGAUGCAUGUUGAUACGGAUCCAGAUACCCAAGUACGUCAUUUCAAUAUAAUUCUCGUCAAUUUAUUCUCGCCAUUUCAAUACCAAUUUUAGAAUUUAUUCUCGCCAUUUCAAUUCCAAUUUUAGAAUUUAUUCUCGCCAUUUUAAUUUAAGUUUUAGCAUAUUCCAAAUCAUUUCCACCAUAAAUCCAACAACCCAUUUACAAAAUUAAUUCUAUACACAAUUAAACUGCACCUCCUCGUGGGAUCGACACUCGUCACCAUAGAUCUAUACUACAAUAGAUUCGUGCGCUUGCGAGUACAUUAAAAUUUGCACAACAACACGUACAGUGCAAUUAAAAAAAAAAGCUACAGUAAACAGAAACAACAACAUUGAAAGCAUUUAAAAUUAAACAAAGUAACAAUCUCAAUCCCUAAGAGCUAUACCUUCAACUUAAAUCACUAGAUAUCACAUAAGUGAAAAAAUCAACUUUAAAACCUAUUGAGAGAGAGAGAGAGAGAGAGAGAGCUCAAAAAAUCAAAAACACAUCUUAAAUCCUUCAACCUCUGCGUACAAUAAGCAAGAAGUAACUCUGCGACAGAAUGAUGAGACGACAAAGAUAUGACGUUGCACGGCGACGGGCUGUGAGAACACCGGAAGGAAUUGCUAAUGGCCCACGACAACGGUUGUAAGAACACGGCAAAGAGUUGCUAAUGGGCAACGAAGACGGUUGUGAGACAAACGAUGGAAGUGAGAGAGAAGAAAGAUAAUGGUAGUUGGGGGGAUGUGGUGUGUGAGAGAGAGGAGAUGGGUUUGAUAUAUUUUUUUCCACAGAUAGGGAAUGAAAUUAGAUCUAGGGUUUCUUCAUUUUUUUUUUAAAUUUUAAAGUGAAGAACCGAUUGGGUCUUAUAUUCUUGAACCAUUCGGUUUUUAGCUAUUGAACUGAACCGAAAUGAAUUUAAUAAUUUCGGUUCGAUAAAAACCGAAUAGGAUGCCCAUCCCUACUUUUGAUAAAUUAAUUCCAACACUCGCUUGAGAACUUAUUUGGAAAAAGAUUUAAAAAAUGAGAAACAAAAGUAAUUUUGUUAAUAAUUAAUUUUGUGGAACAGAUUAUAAGUAAACAUGUUGUAAUGUUAUUAUGUUGUAAUGUUAAUAUAUAUUCUCGUGUUACUAGUUAUAUUAAGUUACUGAUAUUAUACAAGGCAACUUUAUUGUUGAUGUUAUUAAUAAUUUUUAAUGAGUGGUGCUAUUGCCAAAAUCAUAAGCGAUUUUGGAGAUGGAACCGGCGAUUUUUGCCCUAGUUUGAAGCUCAAACAGACUGACUAUAUCAUGCCAAGAAAGAAUUUCCCAGUCUGGGAUUUGAUAUGCCAAAAUCAUAAGCUCAUAAAGGCAGACAUACAUGAAUGGUAUGAUGGACAAGAGCUGCAACAUGCACUGCUCCAACUUAUUAACUCAAAUGUUAUUAUUUCUAAAGAACAACACGACGGCGACGACAAUGGCGAUUCCACUCAGCUAGUUACAGUUGACUACAAGCUUCAUAAAAUUCCAGUCUCUGCCCAUUGAGUGUAGCAGAUAUUAUCAAUGUAGCCGAUGUUGUAGAAUUGAUGUUAAUGUCACAUUUCAUCCGGCUGGUUUCAGCCUUAGCAAUUAAUGUUCAAGGUGUUUGUUGCUGAAUGAAAUUGAAUGAAAAUUUACAAAUAUAAGAUGGCUUCAAUUUUUUAUUUUAUUUUAUUUUAUUUUAUUUUAUUAUUAUUUUAGUUUGCUUGUUGCCUUGUUAAAGUUCUGGCCACUUAAGACAGUUAAACAAAUGAGAUUGAAAAAAGGGGAUCCCAAAUCAUGUAAUCAUGACAUUAAUGGAAUGAAAAUGACUAGCAAUAUAAUUCGAGAAAAGUAUAUAUAGAAUUGCUAUCUAAUUGACUCUUGCUACACCGAUCGUUCCUCGCAUAUUAGCCAUAAUUUUGAAAUAUUUAGGAUAAAUUUUAGAUUAUUCCACUCAUGAAUUAACUAUCUUCAAAUUAUUUCUUUAUUUUUUAAAUAAUUAGUACUAUUUAUCUUUAUAAUUUUUUUAUCUUUUUAUUAUUUUUUUUAUCUUUUUAUUUUCUUCAAAUUAGUACUAUUUAUCUUUAUAAUUUUUUAUGACUAUUUUUCCAAGAAAAACAUCAUAAACUACAAUAAAAUUGAUUAACAUAUACUAAUUUAGAAUAUUAAAGGAUGAUAUUCAAUUGAACAUGAUUUAUUUUAUGAUAAUAAAUUAUCCUAUUUAUAUUCUUUGAGAUACUUAUUGUUGGUUUAACUUUUAUAAUUUGUAAGAGUACAAAUGUAAAAAUACAAGUUUUCAAAAUUUUUAAAUUUAAAAAAAUUUAAUACUUAUUUUUAGAAAUAAAAAAAACAUUUAUAUUCAUACAUUCAAUUUUUUUUUUAAAUUCAGACUAAGGGUCAGUUUGGGAUUGCGGAGGCUGAUGAAAUAAGCCGCUUGUACUGUGCAGAUAAAAUAAGUCGCUUAUUAAAAAAGUAGCUUGGAGUUUGGUAAACAGUGCAGUUGUAGUUGCUGUGAGUUUGAAAAGUAGAGUGUAUGUGUUUGGUAAAUUUUAUUACGAAAGUGUUGUUUUAUUAUAUAAUAACCAAAAUAGACAUAAGUUUUAAUUACUUUUUAUUUUUAGAGUAUGUUUAAUAAAAUUGUUUAGACAUAUCUUUUUUCUUAAAUAUGUAAAAUUACAUUAAAUAAUCAAUUAAAAAAAAUCUAAAGUACUUUAUAAUCUGUUACUUAAAAUAUAAUAAAGUUAAAUGUAUGAUUUAUAUAUUAGAGUUUAUGGAUAAAUAAGAUAUAAUUAUCUUUUUAUUAAAAUAUAGGGUUAUAAUAGGAAUUUUAAAAAGAUAUGGUAGCUUAUUAAAUAAGCUGCUUAUCAAAGUAACCCCCUAGCUGUUUUUAAAAGCUGCUGAUAAAAUGGAGAAAAUUAUGAAAUAAGUUGCUUUUACAAAAUUUACUAAACACUAUUUUUAUUGAAAAUUAUGAAAUAAGCAGCUUAUUAAAUUUCAACCAUAAUCCCAAACGGAUCCUAAUUUAAAUUUAGAAAAAUAAUUGCUAAUCCCCAAACAAAAAUUCGAGUCAGUAACCUCUCAACAAUUGACUGCAAGCUUCAUAAAAUUCCAGUCUCUGCCCAUUGAGUGUAGCAGAUAUUGUUAGUAUAGUUAGUAUAGCCGAUGUUGUAGAAUUGAUGUUAAUGUCACAUGUUUCAGCCUUAGCAAUUAAUGUUGAAGGUGUUUGCUGUUGAAUGAAAUUGAAUGAAAAUUUACAAAUAUGAGAUAGCUUCAAUUUCUUUUUUUAAUAUAGCUUAAAUUUUUUUUUUCAAUUCAGUUAGCUUGUUGCCUUGUUAAAGUUCUGGCCACUGAGAAAGUUAUACAAAUGAGAUUGAAAAAAGGGGAUCUCAAAUCAUAUAAUCAUCAAAUUAAAGGAAUGAAAAUGACUAACAAUAUAAUUCAAAAAGGUAUAUAUAGAUUUGCCAUCCAAUUGACGCUUGCUAUAUCAUCGUUCCUCGCAUAUUAGCCAUAAUUUUGAAAUAUUUAGGAUAAAUAUCAAAUUAUUCCACUCAUGAAUUAACUAUCUUCAAAUUAUCCCCUUAUUUUUAAAAACCUAAAUUUACUCCUCAAAUCUUAUUAUUUCUCCAUUAAUUUUAAUUGUUAAAAGGGUAAAUUAGUAUCUGUAAAAUUUGAAACAUUCAGUAAUCGAAAGAAAUCAAGCCUUUCUAUAUCUUCACUCUUUUAUAUUUAUUAUUAGAUAAAAUGACUAAUGCCCCUGGCUUGUAUUUUGGAGAACAAAGAUACUUUAACAUAAAUUAAAUUAAUUUUAAUUUAAUUUCAAAAAAUUAAAAUUCUCAAAAUUCAUUUGUUAAUGUUCAUUCAUCUUCAUCUAGUAAAACUCACUUGCUUACUAUUCAUUCGUUCAUUCAUUCUCAUCUAAUAAAACUUACUCUCUUCUGUAAAUAAAUGCAGUACAAUUGAAACAUUCUCUCUCCCAAAAUUUUUGUUGAUAGAUAAUUUUAAAUAAACUAUUAGUAAAUAAAAACUAAAGUAAAACUAAAAUCCAAUUAAAAUCUGAGCAAGUUUUGCAAUAACUCAAUUAGUUUUGAAGUCAAAAUUCCAUAUUUGAAAAUACUCAGAAUAGUUAUCGAUUAUAGUUGCAUAUCAUGGUCAAGAAAAUUCUAAGAACUCAAAGGCCAUGCAUCCAUGGCAGCGCGGCCAUGGAUACCAAACCCAUGGCUGCUUGAAAUCGUUUAUUAACAAAAAAAAAUUGUUAAAAAAGAGAUAUUUUUGUACUUUAACAGGUCAACGACAGUGAAUCGUUAUAGUUAACUAUUUUUAGGGUAAUUUGAAAUUUUCAAAAGUAGAGAGAUAAUACAAAGAUAAUCAAUUCACAGGUGGAGUAAUCUGAAACUCACCCAAUCAUGUAUAUUGAAUAGAUGUAUGGUUGAAAUUUAUAUAACUUUUUGCAUUUUAUUUCUUCUGUUUUAAAUAUAUAUAUAUAUAUAUAUAUGAGAAAUUUAAUUAUAACCUAGAUUGCUUACAUGAUUAGCGCAUAACUAUUUGCAAACUACCUACGUUAUGCCCAAAAUUUUGCAAUAUUAAUUUUGAUGAGUGAUUAAGACAGAAAAUUGUCUGCAAUAGGUAUAUAUCAAAUAGAAAUAGACUACUCCAUUGAAAAUAGCUUUUGAAUUAUCUUGAAAUUGAAAGGCCAUUCAUAGAUUUAGUGCUCUUUUGCUUUCGUUGUAUUCAGAAUUUGCCUGCUUCUCUCAUGAAUGAUCCACAAGAUUAAGAAACACUCCUGAAAAUGCUUUCCUUAAAGUGAUCUGAACUCAUUGAAUAUGACAAUAUGAAAAGAUGCAAUUGAAUUUGCAGUUAACAAAAAGCAUAGUAGGAUUCACUUAAUAGCCUAAAAUGGUAAGAAUUAACAGCCACAGUGAUUUAUUUCUUCCAAAGCUUAUGACAGAUAUCCUUCCAAAUCUUGAUUGCAAAUCACAAUGGCCUAAUUAGUCUAUUGCAAAUCAUGAACAGGUCCACUUUAAGAAAAUGGUGUUUGAUAUUCUGAACCUAAUCUUCCAAACAAACAAAUAAUAAUGUCGAGCAAAGGUACCUAGCUGCAAUUGUGUUCUUGUACAAUGCACAAUUAUCCAUUUUGCUGAUUCUGGAUUUGUUUGUUUCAAUCUCAUAUUAUUCAACAUUUUGUGAUAGUUCACUAUUUUAAGUAAACUUGAUUAUCACAUUGUUUCACUUUCUGUUAUGUAGUAACUUGUCAGUUCUUUAACCUUAAACAAAACAAGUUACUGCCCAAGAUUUCUUAGAUUAGAUCAAACACAAGUUGCACAAUGCUUAAGAUCGAAUGGAAUCUGUCACAGCUUAAGUAAUCAAAUGGAAUUUAACCAAGCACCAGAAAGAACCAAGAAUCAAAAGAUAAAACCAACCAAGAACCAUAAAGAUUACGUGGUUCAACAAAGCACAAAGCACUCUGUUUACAUCCACGGGAGAAGUCUUUGAUGAGCUUUUAUUGAUUCUACAAUGGAGGUUUUACACUGAGCCUUUACAAGAUUCUAUUCGAGAACAAAAUGCACUCUUACUCUCUCUAGAACUCUCUCUACAAGACUCACUUAGUACCAUGCUUUUCUGACCCUCAUUCUCAGCCUUUAUAAUCUGUUGCAGAGGCCAAGAAGGAAUUACCAGAUCGUUCAGUUUGUUAACACGUGGAUAACAAACUUAACGAACUCAUUUCAGGCUCCUGCAUGUGCUUCCUCACGUGGUCACUUAAGUGGCUCAUCUAAACGCGCCUCAGUCACGUCGUUUAGAUGCAUAUGUUUUAUGCUGAGAGCAGCUGAGCUGCACGUGAGUCUCUUAAGUAAUUAGAAGCCUUAAAACGUUGCCGUAUUUCCGAAUUCAACUUAGAUUCAUUUGUCAGCUUCACAUGUUACUUUUGUAGUUUGUCAUGUCGUGUGAAUACUAUUAGCUAGUUAAAGGCCCUGCCAUAGUGAGAUGCACGAAUUGAAAUUCUGGCUCAGCAUAUGUGCUGUGAAAGCUACACGAGAUUACCAACAAGUGCGUACAUCAGCUAGCAGGGGCUGUUAUAUCCUAACUAAGAUUUAAGAUUUGGGAAUGCAGCUGCAUUAAAUAUUUGUAGAGAGACUUUUGCCGCCUUAGUGGUCCUACCCAGCUCGAAUAUAGAUUAGGCGGGCACAAUGUAAUUUUCGGAUACCAAAUGAUUUAAUACACCAAAAAAAAACUACACAAGAUUUGUUGGGUUGAGUGCCACAGCCUUGUGAACUAAAUUACGGAAACUGGUGUAAAAAAUUAUUGCUUCUGCUCUUUGUUUAAACAAAUUUACCACUGGUAAUCGAUAUGUUGUUGGUAUUAAUGCGAGUCUUUACUAUUAUUUAAGUUUUUGGAUAAGUCCUCUUGACGCAGCUCAAUUGGCAGUAAAUAUGCUUUGUUUAAUGUAUCCACGAUAACCUUUAAUUCAAGUAAUAAUAUAAAGCUCAGUGGCUAGUGUUUAGUGGGCGCUUUUUUUUUUAAUUUAAUGACUUAAUUCCAAUCAACUAAGUUAUUAAGUUUUUUUUUCAAUUUAAUGAAAAUUUUUAAUCAUUAAUCAUUAAGUUAUUAAGCUAUUUUUUUUAUCUUUUCGUUUAAUCUAAAAAAUCUGAAUGAUAUCAUUAAAAAAUAUUCUCCAAAAUAUUCUUAUCUAAUUAAUUAAUUUUCAUCCUUACCUAAAUAAAAUUUACUAAUUAGUAUUAUUAUUUGUUGUCAGGAGAAAACAAGAAAGCAUGUACGUGAGUUGCAUGACAUAAGCAAGAUGCUAUGAAGAUAUGAGAAUAAGAAGCAUGAUGUAAGUAAAAUAUCACGAAGAUAUGUGAGCAAGAAAGCAUGCAUGUGAGAAGCAUAAUAUAAGCAAGCUGUCAUAACAAUAUGAGAGCAAGAAGUGUGACAUAAGUAAGAUGUUAUGAUGUAGGAAGUUAUUUGAGGUAUUUUAAAAUUCUAGAAUUUUAAUAUUUUAGGACUUUCUAUUUUUAUCAGGAUCAACUAAGGUAUGAUAUUUAAUUAACUUAGGAAACUAUCUUUUGUUUCCAUUAUAAUUGUGAUUUAGNNNNNNNNNNNNNNNNNNNNNNNNNNNNNNNNNNNNNNNNNNNNNNNNNNNNNNNNNNNNNNNNNNNNNNNNNNNNNNNNNNNNNNNNNNNNNNNNNNNNUAAGUGAGUUUACUCUAUUAUAAAUAGAAAAGUCUUAUUAUUAUUUUCAGCACUUCAAAUUCAAUUAUUCAGUAAAACUCUCUUUUUAUAAUUUCUUUUGGAAUUAUCUAUCAAAAUCUCUCUUGUAGAGUCGUUUGGAUUAGAGCAUCAUCUAAUCUCGCAUUACGUGUUAUUAAAAAUCUCAUUGAUUCAUUUGGAUUAGAACGAGAUCUAAUUACGCUUUGAUUAGAGCUAGCUCUAAUUAUGAAUAACCCCAUGCAAGCUAGCUCACAACAGAAAAUUAGAAACUUAUUAUACAAAUUACUCAUAUAAUUAACAAAAAGAAAAAUGUACUUAUAUACAGGACACUACAACAAAAUCAGUUUUUAUUCCGGAUGUCCUAAUUAAAAUUUGAAACAAAAUCUUCUUUCAUAAAGUUUUUUUUUUUUUUUUGGUUGGCUUUUAGCAGUUAUUUAUGUCAAGAUCGCUUUAGAUCAAAAUUUUAACAAAAUAUGAGCGUUUGAAUGAGACACCUUUUACACCAUAAGAAAUAAGUCUAAAUAACAUAUGCCAGCAACACAAACUAAUUUACACCAUCAUUGUUGUCCCAAAUACCUUCCUUUCUACUUACAAAGAUGCUAAUGCUAAAUCUGCAACUUUGCAAGAUUCAUUUUCAUAACAGCAUGAACCAAGAAGUUUAGUAAGACUCCAAAACUGUACAACAAACUUGGUGAUCACAUGCUUCCUUAAUUCUUAUUAACAAACUCAUUAACGAAUGUGACUGAACAAUAAUUUUUUAGCCCUGUGAUCACGCCAACAACUUUAAACCUUAGAAUAUGCAUCUCAUCAUAGUAUCUGCACUACCUAACUUUUGAAACUUGCAUCAGAUAGCCAUCAUUAUAUUAAGCCACCAAAAAAUUUCACAUCAUCUAGUUUCUACCACCACCUAUCUUUUAUAAGAAGUUCAUGUAACCAUAUAGUCACCAAAAUAAUCUGCACUACCUAAUUUUUGAAACUUGUAUCAUCAAAACACUUUUUCCAAAAAAUCGAGAGAACCUCCCAUCGGCUAAAUGAAAAACUUAAUUUGAGUUUCAUUCUGCUCUGAAGAACAAAAAGUCCAAAGAAAAACUUUAUUUGACCUUUUUGUUAUUCAAUAAAUAAAAAUGACAAACAAUGUCUUCAACUGACAAACAUAAAAGAAGCUGUCCUGGCACCGUAUUACCCGACUCCUUAUUAAUCAAUCCAAAAUAAAAAUACAAGAGCCAUAGGGGCUAGCCAGACGCAAGGCUAGAGUUCAACACUCCAUGCCAAGCUAGUGUCCAAAUCUGCAAGCCAAUCUAUCUUCUCCCAAAUGUCCUCACCGUUAAAAAUGUACCUUUUGAUGUUGUUUACACCAUUAGAUGUAUACUCAACCACAACUUGCUCUAUGCACUGCCGCCAGCAUGAGAUGGGACGGGAUUUGCAGCAUUGAGCAAUCCCUCCUUCAUAUACUGCCUGCUUCUUAUAAGAAAACUCAAACUGAAACAAAAGGACAAGGCACUUAUAAGCAAAGCAGCGUUUGUUACAAGCACGCAAAACAAAGGCAUAAACGUAAAAUGGACCAACUUAAGUACCAGCAUUACAUGUGUAUCAUAAUCACAUAAUUCUCACAGUAUAAACCAAGAACUAAUUCAGACCAAUGCAAAAUCUUCAGUACCUUAAAAGAGAACCAGUUCGAGUAAAAUGAUUUGAUUGUAACAGUCCUUAAAUGAGGUGAAAUCCAGAGCAAACCAUCGAUAGUGUUUUUAAUUGCGACUUGCACACGGGUUCCAUUUAUUACAAAGUCCAGGUUGUUGUAACCAUAGAAUGGGGAAGAUCGGAUUUGCCUCAAGUCUUCUGGAAUAUCCGCAUUCUGCACAAAAGAAUUUGAAUAAUAUAUAAGAAAUAAAAAAGUAUGUAAAAUGGUAAACAGCUCGAUAUUUAAAUGUAUACAUAUAGCAUGCAAGAAGUGACAUACCUCACCCUUGUAACUUUCCAAAUUCACCGCUUUGGAAACAUUAUGGAACAUUGCAAGGAGUCCAAUAUACUCAGAAUACCAGUCAAUGUCGCUGUUAUUCUUGUUGAAACUGAGAUGAGUUUCCAACAAAGUCAUAGCACCUAUAGAGAAAGAUACCACAUCACCUUGAUAUCUGAAAAUACUUAAAUUAGGAGCCUCAAUCUUGACUUCAAUCAACCCUGCACAUUCAAAGAUCUUCAGCAUCUUAAGACUGAGACUUGAAAUCUUAAUACUCUUCAACUUGUCACAACCAACCAAAUUCAAAUUCUCGAGGAAUGGAAAGUUAGGAAUUUGGCUACAAAGCCACUCAUCCUUCAGAGAAAGCAGGCGCAGAGUUAAAAAUUUAAUAUUCUUACAGGAGGCUACAUUGAUCUCACAUGGUAAGCUUAAUUGAAUGCUAACUGUCUUCACAUUCAGAGCUUGGAUAGAAAGCCAUAGAACUUCCAGACAGUUACGAACCUUGAAUUCAUUGAGUUUGGUAAGACCAGAUAGAUCUAGAGUAUUAAAGCCAAGGCAGUUAACCAGACUUAGAUGUUCAAUCAAAGGACAGCCAUCAACUAGGCUCUCAAGGACUAGAUCGGGAGCAUAAACGCUUGUGAGACAUAAUUUUUUCAAAGAAGAUAACUUCACACUUCUCAGAGACUGCAGCUUACAACAACUUAAGGCUAACACUUGUAUUGAUUUUGAGCAUAAAACCUCUUGAGGCAAAUUGUAGCAGCGCUUGUUAUGAGCGUCAACUGAAGGCAUUCCUGGUCUAGUAUCAACAACACGUGCACUAGUAUGAAAUGGAAGUGCGAGUUUCAGCUCUUUGACAUCACUUUCUAAUGCAGAGAAGAUACACCGGUCUACAAAUGGUCCGAGUUCUUU